CCAACAAACUUUAUGAGAUAUUAGAAGAGAUAUCAGAAAAGUGGCACACUUUCUAGUGUAAGACAAAAUAAGAAACAUAAGAUAUUCACAGAAGAAGAAGAGGAAAAUAUAACUAAAUAUUUGAUCCAAGCUAGCCAAAUUUUUUAUGGCCUUUCAAUUAAAAAGAUAAAAAUAUUAUCCACCAAAUGGCAGUAAAUAUGAAGAAAAUAUUUCCAAAAUCUUGGAAGGAAAAUUUAAUGGCCGGGCAUGACUGGUACUUUUCUACUCUCUCCUUAAGGUCCCCUGAAGCUACAAGUAUGGCUAGGGCAACUGGAUUUAAUGAAGAAGAUGUUCUAUACUUUUUUGAUUUAUAUAAAAGAAUAUUAGAUGAACAUAAAUUAGAAUGUAUGGCAAUUUACAACAUGGAUGAAACUGGACUUACCACAGUUCAAACCCCAUCCAAGAUAAUUGCACAAAAGAGGAAAAAACAGGUAGGAUCUAUGACUUCUGCAGAAAGGGGUACCUUAAUAACAUUAGCUCUAGCAGUAAAUGCAAUUGGCCAUGCAAUUCCUCCAAUGUUUCUUUUUCCCAGGAAAAAAUAUUAUGAUUAUUUUGUUAGAGAUGGUCCAUCUGGCUCUGAUGCAAUAGGAGGAUUUUAUUAUUUUUUGAAACAUUUUUCUAAACACACUCGGUGUACUCCAAUGAAGUGUUAUUAAUCCUUGACAAUCAUAUAUCACUUCUAUUCAGCUGUCAAAUUUUGUAUAGAUACGGGAAUAAUUCUAUUAUCUUUGCCACCCCACUGCACCCAUAAAUUAUAGCCUCUUGAUAGGUCUGCUUUUGGGCCUCUCAAAAAAUAUUACAAUAAUGCACUUCAU
Long non-coding RNA from Gordionus sp. m RMFG-2023, 854 nucleotides. RefSeq lists it as uncharacterized. NCBI's taxonomy places the organism in Eukaryota, Metazoa, Nematomorpha, Gordioida, Chordodea, Parachordodidae. The transcript is spliced from 3 exons. The record is from RefSeq and is a predicted model, not a curated record.